Molecule: small RNA, 104 nt
Filed under: Marmota monax (woodchuck)
Lineage: Eukaryota; Metazoa; Chordata; Mammalia; Rodentia; Sciuridae
Source: RNAcentral
GCUGGGUGUGGUAGAAGGUAACCUGUAGUCCCAGCUACUCAGGAAACUCAGACAAGAGGAUUGCUUGAGACCAGCCUGGGCAACAGAGUGAGACUCCGUCUGCC